RNAcentral lists this ribosomal RNA (253 nucleotides) under uncultured bacterium. RNAcentral describes it as "partial 16S ribosomal RNA". It matches the Rfam family "Bacterial small subunit ribosomal RNA", at positions 524 to 776 of the family's 1533-position model. The record is from RNAcentral.
UACAGAGGGUGCGAGCGUUAAUCGGAAUAACUGGGCGUAAAGGGCACGCAGGCGGGCUUUGAAGUUAGGUGUGAAAUCCCCGGGCUUAACCUGGGAAUAGCAUUGAAGACUGGGAGUCUAGAGGACUUUAGGGAGGGGUAGAAUUCCACGUGUAGCGGUGAAAUGCGUAGAGAUGUGGAGGAAUACCGAAGGCGAAGGCAGCCCCUUGGGAAUGUCCUGACGCUCAUGUGCGAAAGCGUGGGGAGCAAACAGG